AGGAAGCCUUUUCUGCAAACACCACUCACUGUACACAUUCCUGUAGGCUCAGCCCUUGGAAGGCUGAGGCACUAGUUGGAGCCCAGCUUUGGCUCUGAAUUGAGUCCAAGGCCAGUCUGGGCUGCCAAGUGAGACCCUGUUUUAAGAUAAAAAGUAGUACUGUGCUUUCAAGAGUAGGAUGAGAACUAAGUUCAUCCGGAGCCCUCUCAUUGCCUCACAGUUCUUUCAGUUACAAAGUUGCAGGAGAGCCUAGGGACCGUUAACCGUCAGCCCGGAGGACCAGGGAAGCCGGUGCUGCCUGGAAGCUGCUCUCCCAGACAGCCCAUUCAUCAUCUUUCCUUCCGUUCUUUACAAUGAACAUAUUUCUUAGCUACUGCACAGUGUUUCAAAUUGAAUGAUACAUUUUCAUUAUAGGCCAGCCUCCCAGAGAGCUGUAAUUCUUAGGGCAGAUAAAAGCAGACAGGUACCCAGAAGCCUGUGGGAGAGCAGGAGAAAGCUGUUGCUGAGAAUUGCUGCUGCUGGCUGACCGUGCCACGCCUGUCUUCACGGGUUAGAUUUGGGACAUUUGGGAGUGCUGAUUAUGUCUUCAUAUCAAAUAGGAGAAAGAAUUCAUCCUAAGGUGUUGGGUGGGCUGGAUGGAGAGCUAUCUGAAAGGCUUGAACCUUUGGGAAGCAAUUCCAUGGAAGAGUUGUCAGAGAUCUCUGUAAUCCUGGACUGUGUCGUGAGCGCUUGUGUGUGUGUGUGUGUGUGUGUGUGUGUGUGUGUGUGUGUGUGUGUGUGUGUGUUUUAAAUAACAUAGGAAGGUGUUAUAAGCUGGAGUUUCCUGAAUCAUAGGGGCCCAUUGACAGAGUCUUGGGUAAUACUCUGCACAUGUGUACAGUUACUUGACAGCAAAUGCAAGGGGAACCACUCCCCUGUGUGUUUUCUUAGCAUCUGGGGAGGUGAAUCCCAAGCUGCUCAAGUCCCCGUGGUCCCGUGAAGGUCUCCCCAUGUCAGGUCAACAGAAUGGCUGCUCGGAUGGCAUAUUAAAUGUUGGAGCUUGGUACUGACAAGAGGAUGAAAGGGAGUAGAGUUCACAGGCAACAGAGUAGGUGAUGCAACUCCAUGUCCAUACUCACCCAAGUACGACCUAACAUUUCCAAUGGUAGGGUCAGAAGGCAACCUCUCUUGGACAACCCUCUAGCAAAAUGUGUUCGGGCAACAAACGCAGUUAGGACACAGGAAGCACGCGCUGGAUCUAAGCCUAUGCAUUUAAGCCACAGCCUUCUGCAGUAUUUCCUACAGUACCAGAAACACACCCUCCUUUCUUCCCUGUACUUUCUAGAAUACCUGUAGAGACGCUUGCAAUCACCUGCUGGGAAGAGGUCGGAGAUAAAUAGGACAUGGGAAAAGAUGUCUACCAGGUACGACUCUGAAAAGCCAGCAAACUGUGGUCAACCCUGCUGGUGGCUACUUGCAGCCAGGAGGGCGGGACAGUAGAUGCCACUUCGAUAUGGAGCUACAGUCUCAGCAUGCAUGGAUUUUCUUUGCUGCCUGGGUGAGGCGUAGGGCACACCCAGAAUACGAGCCUGCUAUGACUGGCUGACUAGCAGUUGUAAGAAGGCACCAAGUUGGCCGAGAAGUACUCUAAUUCCAGUACCAUUAGUGGAGUGACAGCUCCUGCUGCCUCCUACCGCUCUGAAUCCCUGCCCUUCAAGGACCAGCUCAAGUCUCACUCCUCUGAGAGGCCACAGCUACUCCCACACUCACACUACAUCUUGCAUCUAUGUGUGGAUUGUUCCCUGAACUGCCCCAAGCUUGUGUCUUCUAGCUUUGGGCUCUUGGUUGGUUGGAGUGUCCAUAUAGGUCUGAAUGCUCCACAGAGAGGUAUGCAGAGGACUGGUGGGAGAGGAAGAUUCCAGGAAAAGCAAGAGUCUACUCUCAUUCUACAUAAACCUCUCAUGAGAGCACGGAAGUAAAUCUGCCUUCCUUCCACCUUUGACUGCACUGUGCUGUGACGGCAAAGCCUGUAGGAUCGCAGGGCAAAGCUGUGUAGGAGUUCCAGAACGCUUACUUGAGGGCACACACUCACAAGGAUUUCAUAAAAAGAAGAUGGAAAUUUCUCUCCUGCUCUCUCCGGCAUUUAUGUCCAUACAGAGUGGCUGUAUGUUUGUCUGAAGUAUGAGGCUUGAAUAUCACUGCUGAGCAAUAGCACAGUACAAGCAGAAAGUUAUUGAUUCUAGAACAAACUCAAUCACGUCCUGGAGACUCAGCAGCCCACGUCCUUCUGUGGGCCUCACUGUGAAACACGUUAGAUUACAGCAUGUCUUUUCUACCCACAACACAGAGAUGUGGUCAUGCCAUAACAGAGAGGUGGUCAUGGCACAAUAUCCUUUCUUCCACAAACUGUCCUAGUGAAAUUCAAACCUAAAGUUUUUCAAGAACGAUCUGGUCACACAUUCAACCCACAAGCUUGUCACUAACGGGUCACAGCACACAAUUCUGAGAACCAACAGACUAACUAUGGCUACACUAAGGAUGCUUUUCAUUAAGUUAUGUGACCUGGGAGCCCAUUAGGGCCAGGAGAGCAGUGGCCCUAAAAAUGUAGCUUAGGGGCGCCCUAGUUUGGGAACACCCUCAGGCCCUCUCCUCCAUAUUUCUAGCUGAAGGAAGCCAUCAGAUCUGAACACAGGACCUGUGACAGGCACUGAAAGGCAGCAGAGGUAACGAGAACACAAUGGCCAAUGCCAGGUCCGAGUCCUACAAAAGGCAAUGCCAGAUACUGCAAGAACAUGUGUGUGUGUGUGUGUGUGUGUGUGUGUGUGUGUGUGUGUGUGUGUGUGUGUGGAGAGAGAGAGAGAGAGAGAGAGAGAGAGAGAGAGAGAGAGAGAGAAGCAAGUGGCAUCUGUAACUACUUCUAUUCAGACCUUUAGGUAGAAACAUGAGACAGGGUCCCAGGACACUACCUCUUGCUUUUCAAGGGAAGCUGUGGUUGAAAAGCCUUUUGAACAGCUCCAGCAAUUACCCUGAACAAUGCCUAAACCAUCUUGGCCUUGAGACGCAGCCUGGUGCUGCAGAUUAGUGACCAUUCUCACACUUUCCAGGUCAAGUGCGAAUCCCCAAUUCUAUCAGCAAUUUCCCUUCCAGACUGGACGUGUGGGAAUUGUUUACGGUUAAGCUGUUUAUGGACGAUUAACCUCAGUAUAUAAAACUGGUCUCUCCACUCCGGGGAAAGUUCCAGGUGCAGAGAGGGAGGCCUGCGUUCCCCCUGCGCUGGUUGCUUUUACCUCUAAAGAGAGCGAUCUCAGAGCAGUGAAUCCUGACAGGCAGGCCGCAGGGCUGCACGUACUCUACUCAGUCCUAGGUGACAGGGGUGGCAUUUGGUUUCCAUAUUGUUUUUAGUGUACACUGUGACUUUGGGAGAGCCAGUGCAGUAACCACCCCCAUUUUAGGCAAGUGCCCAGAGGAGAGCCACAAUCUUUGUGUGGCUUCUUCAGGCUGUAGUGUAGUUCUGUGGGCUAUCCAUGACAAAGGUCAGAUCACGAGAUGUGUAUUUUGUUUGUGUAUGUGUGUGUGUGUGUAUGUGUAUAUACAUAUGUGUGUACAUGUGAGGGCUGGAGGUCAACACCGGUGUCUUUCACGAUUGCUUUCCCCACUUUAGCUUUUAUUUCAGUUAGAGACAGGGUCUGUGAACCAGGGCCUCACCAAAUGGCCAGAGUGGCCAUUGAGCUCCAGAUAUCAGCCUCUCUCUAGUCCCCCCAACCCCGCCUCCCUGGCCCCAAGCAGUAUUUCCCAUGCUGGGCGUCUGAACUCAGGUCAUCACAUAUCUCCCCAGUCGCCAUGACAGUUUGAAAGAAGUUGUAUCUUCUGUAGUAGAUUUGACUUCAUGUUGAAAGUUGAAGAGGUCCAACAGUAGGUAAGGAGAUGGGAUCAUGAUAGGAAAACACAUAAAGGCUAGCUAUUCGUCCUCCCAAAGGAAAUUCUACCUCAUGCUACAUACAGCACAGAACCUUAAUGAUAUAAUGUUAAGCAAAAUAAACCAGUCACAAAGAGGACAGAUACUGCGUAAUUCCACAUAGGUGAAGUGUCUAGAGCUGACCAAUUAAAAUAGAAAGGGUGGCUGUGGGGACCCGUGGGCAGGGAUGGGAGUACUGUAUGGUUUACUACCUGAAAGUUUCUGUGUCAGGAGCUUGGUUCCAGAAUGGCAGUGCUGGGAGGUAGUGAAGUAAGGCAGGCAGGGAUGAAGGCAAUGAUGGGGAUGCUUUAGGCCAAGUGGGCUUGCAUUUGGGGCAUUGAGGGACCCCAGCUACACUUCCACUUCUUGUUGGUCUGUGUUCUUACUUCUUCCUACAUAACCUUGGGCUAACUGUGACCCACAGAAGGCAUUUUGAGAAGACAGUCUGCACAGACCGUUUUGUUCAUCAGGUAUUUUGUCCCAGUAAGGACAGAUGGGACUAAGACGGCCAGUCAUCUUGAAUGGGUAGAGUGCUUUGGUUUUGUAAGAUUAAACCAGUUCCUGAUCUAGCUCUUAGGAGUGGGUAUAAACAUCUGAAUAUACUCGAAGUAGCAAAUAUUACGUUAUCAUAUUUUACUAUAACAUAAUUGGGGGGAAAGAUGAGGGAUAAGGUUAAUAACUCAGCUAGCCCGUCACCCAGAUAGAUGCUAAUUUGAAAUGCUCCCCCCAAAGCAUGUUCCCAUUUUCUCUGCGUUUUCAGGCCAAGUUGAAAUUUUGACUUCUGUCAACAUCCUGUUUGGGUCUUCGGGGCUUAAGAGCUUUUGUUAGGGUCUGUCUCAGACUGACAGCACCUACCAUAGCUCAUGGGGCUCUACCCUUGGUUGCCCUGCAGCAGCCUGAGGAAGGCACAGCUGGCGACGUUACCUGGACGGGUAGCCUGCCGCGCUGAUCCGAAUGGUCUCCAACACGCCGCAGGCUCUGAGCUGCUGCACAGCUCUCUUUGGGUCGAAGCUGCAAAGUGAAAAACAGCAUGAAGCAGUGCUGGGAGGUGAGAGGAGGGCUGAAGCUCGGCAGUAAGAGGCUGAGAAGACAAAGGAAAUGUGGAGCACCUCGCUGGAACCCUUUCCCUGUCACCUGAGGUGGUUUCGUCCUCUUUGAUAUGAAGCACUGUUCUGGGAUGCCAGCAGGUCUCACAAGAAGCCUGUCUGAUUUAAUGGCCACUCAUGGUCCUGGGAAGGCCUUCAGGGUACAGGCUCUGUUUUCCUCACCUCUAAUGGGUGUGGAGAACAUCUGCCCAAGCAUAACUACGAUAGUCACAGAUGGAGACUUUCAAGAGAAAAGCACAGAGACCGGACAAACAAGAUACAGUGUCCUCUCUCCUUGUCCAGGCACCGAGGAAGCCCAGAUUGUUCAGUGUUCUCAUCUCAUGUCUGCACCAGUGGAAACUCCAUGGGCCGCACUAUGAAGUGACAAGGAAUGGAAAACCAGCCUUCUAAUGAAGCCAGGCUUAGAUCUGGAGGACAGCCAACAGAUAACUGGGUAUUAAGAAAAAAUUCAAAAACCCAAUUAGGUAUAGGUUUAAGCCGUUGAAAAUCAGAUUUACACUUUGCUGGGAGAGACAGCAGAGCCUGGAGUUGCCUGGCUGCAGAGGGAGGAGCCCAGGGCUGCAGCACCUGGCCGUGCUUCUCCAGUGGCUUCCCUUCCCACUCUAUCAGCCUUGCAUGGGCUCUAUGCUUUCAACCACUUCCUCAGGCUCCACAACAUUCCUACAGUCAGCCAAAGACUCUGAGACCAGUUCGUCAGCAAGCUUCACCUCUACCAAGGAAGUCCAGAUCAACACUUACCCCAGCCACUUCAGGGGAGAGGAGGGUCGCUUCAUCACUUCCUUGCCUUUCUGUCUCCACAGGAUUUUCCCCAAGUGAAUUCUCUCAUUCUACUUGGUGGGUUCCCAGGGAUUGAACACCGGCCAUCAGGCUUGGGUUACGUGCUUUUACUAGCUGAGACAUCUUGACAUCCCUAUGCUCAUACUAUGUCUACAGAACUGUUGAUGGUCAACUUUUGGGGCAGUGUCAUUUAUAUGUGACAUACAGCUCCUUAAGCAGGGCCGGGGGUGGCAGCAUAGCUUAAAGCCAUCCCACCUGUCAUAGACAAGCAUCUAAUGAAGAAGAAAUAAGCCAGAUGUUUCUUGACUAAAAGUAAAGAGAAAAUACUUUUAUAUGAGAAGUGCUAUCAGAAAUAUACAGGACAGGGCUCUUAAUGGGGCUAUUCUGCUCCCUAAGGAGCACUUGGUAAUGUGUAAAAAUGUGGGUUGUCACACUGAUGGAGAUGCUAUUAGCAUGUGGCAGAUAGAGGACAGUGAUGCUUCUAACCAUGCUAUAAUGUGCAGGGCAAUCUUCUAUAGCAAAAUACUGCCUGACCCACAUGUGGACAGUCCUAAGGGCGAGACACUGGGGUGUAGCAGACUUGCUUCUAGGAUACUAUCAAUAGUUUAUGUCAACACACACACACACACACACACACACACACACACACACACACACACAUAGUUAUAUAUACAUGUAGGUGGAGGCCAGAAAAAUCAACCUUGAGAGUGUCUGUCUUUCCUCAGGUACCACCCACACUGUCUUUUAAGGUAGAGUCUUUUAGUUGGCAUGAGGCUUGCUGACCAGGCUACCAGGCUGGCCAAGGAGCCCUGAGAUCUGCCUGUCUCACAUCUCCAGUGCUGGGGAUACAAACACCCACCAUGAUGCAUGGCUUUUUGAUGUGGUUCUGGGCGUUGGACUCACACUUGCAGGGCAAAUACUUUAUUGGCCGUGUUAUUUCCCAGUUUAUAAUAAAGUAACAACAUAUUUCAACC
Molecule: non-coding RNA, 6791 nt
Organism: Rattus norvegicus (Norway rat)
Lineage: Eukaryota; Metazoa; Chordata; Mammalia; Rodentia; Muridae
Source: RefSeq, a predicted model, not a curated record